This 335-nucleotide ribosomal RNA is filed under the name uncultured bacterium. RNAcentral describes it as "bacterial SSU rRNA". It matches the Rfam family "Bacterial small subunit ribosomal RNA", at positions 78 to 417 of the family's 1533-position model. The record is from RNAcentral.
GGAAAUGUUGAAAAGUUAGUGGCGAACGAGGUAGUAAUACAUAGGAACUUCCCCCAGAGUCGUGAAUAAUCCAUCGAAAGAUGGACUAAUACACGAUGGCCUCAAGGACUUUUGUCCAAGAGUAAAGUUUUAACGCUCUGGGAAAGGCCUGUGCGAUAUCAGCUAGUUGGUAGUGUAAUGGACUACCAAGGCUAUGACGUCUAGGGGAGCUGAGAGGCUGACCCCCACCGAUGGUACUGAGACACGGACCAUACACCUACGGGUGGCUGCAGUCGAGAAUCUUCCACAAUGGACGAAAGUCUGAUGGAGCGACGCCGCGUGAUUGAUGAUCUGUG